Molecule: long non-coding RNA, 602 nt
Filed under: Mytilus galloprovincialis (Mediterranean mussel)
Lineage: Eukaryota; Metazoa; Mollusca; Bivalvia; Mytilida; Mytilidae
Source: RNAcentral
GUCACAAUGCAUGUCAAGAAAACUGCAAACAUAAUUCACAAACUUAGAUCAUGACCAGUUCAAUGUUUUAGGAUCAACAUCACUAAAAUUUCGUAACUGUAACACAAUUAACGCUUACAUGAACUUAUCAUUCCGAAAAUGUUGCUUGACCCCAUUGAUAGUUGAAAGUGUUAACAACCUGUUCAGUCUAUUGUUUUCAAUCACAUGGUUUAACCAACUAACUAACAUGUUUAACCCCGCCACAUUAUUUAUGUAUGUUCCUUUCCCAAGUCAGGAGCCUGUAAUUCAGUGGUUGUCGUUUGGUUAUGUGUUACAUAUUUGUUUUUCGUUCAUUUUUCUUUUAUAUAAUAAGGCCGUUAUUUUCUCGUUUGAAUUGUUUUACAUUGUCUUAUCGGGGCCUUUUAUAGCUGACUAUGCGGUAUGGGCUUUGCUCAUUGUUGAAGGCCGUACGGCGACCUAUAAUUGUUAAUGUCUGCGUUAUUUUGGUCUCUUGUGGACAGUUGUCUCAUUGGCAAUCUUACCACAUCUUCUUUUUUAUAAUUCUAUUUGAAGUGAUGAUGCAAUGGCGGAAUUUAAAAACGGUUGCAAAUACGUCUACCGAC